This 443-nucleotide ribosomal RNA is filed under the name uncultured bacterium. RNAcentral's name for it is "partial 16S ribosomal RNA". It matches the Rfam family "Bacterial small subunit ribosomal RNA", at positions 338 to 795 of the family's 1533-position model. The record is from RNAcentral.
CCUACGGGUGGCAGCAGUGGGGAAUAUUGCACAAUGGGCGAAAGUCUGAUGCAGCAACGCCGCGUGAAGGAAGAAGGGUUUCGGAUUGUAAACUUCUAUCAACAGGGACGAAGUAAAUGACGGUACCUGAAUAAGAAGCCCCGGCUAACUACGUGCCAGCAGCCGCGGUAAUACGUAGGGGGCAAGCGUUAUCCGGAAUUACUGGGUGUAAAGGGUGCGUAGGCGGCUUAGUAAGUCAGAUGUGAAAUCCUUGGGCUUAACCCGGGGAUUGCAUUUGAAACUGUUAUACUGGAGUACAGUAGAGGAUAGCGGAAUUCCUAGUGUAGCGGUGAAAUGCGUAGAUAUUAGGAGGAACACCAGUGGCGAAGGCGGCUAUCUGGACUGAAACUGACGCUGAGGCACGAAAGCGUGGGGAGCGAACAGGAUUAGAUACCCGGGUAGUC